Molecule: long non-coding RNA, 2288 nt
Organism: Ursus thibetanus thibetanus
Lineage: Eukaryota; Metazoa; Chordata; Mammalia; Carnivora; Ursidae
Source: Ensembl
AUGCGCCUGUCAGUCCGGGCGCUGCGCCGCACUCGGCCCGAGCUGUUUGUAAAUUACAUUAGCGGCGCCUUUAUUGCACCCGAACCUCGGGCGACUCAAAAGCCGCCGCCCCCACCCCAAACUGCGAGCCUCGCUCCCGGCGCACCCGCCUCCCGCCGGCCUGGCUGCGAUGGUAGCGCCGGCCCGGAGGUCUCAGGCUCUCCGACCCGGGAUUUGGCGCCCGAGAAGGGCGGCGCGAGCCCAGCCGGAGAGGGACGCGGCCGCUGCGCGGGCCAGCAGGGCCACCUGAGUGUCUUUGCAGAAGCAGGUGAGAGGGCUGAUGGCACCAUGACCUCAGACAACUCCACUCCAGGCCCGCUGUGUGAUCUUGGGAGCUCACCAUUGCAGGAUCGUUCUGUGGCUCCCAGAAGCUUUCCAGCUUCUCGCUGACUGUUCCCGAGAAGAGGCCGCUCAGGCCCAGGGCUGCCUGAACCAAGGAGAAGAGGCGAGGUGGUGCGGGACGGCUGAGGCUGGCCACAGUGGCAAGGAGCUGCCUGAACAACCACAGAACCCUGGAAACCCGCUUUCCAAGGAGAAUGGCGGGUGAGGGAAGACAGGGCACAGACUUCUGCGUGACUAGGGCGGGGGAUGAAUGGAGAGCAAAGACUCCCCCUCAGUCUCUCUGUGCCUGGGGAUGGGGGGAGGGCGGGGUGCAGCAGCUGCCAAAAGGAAAGGGAUCUGCCCCCAGGAUGAGUUUGAGAGUUCCUGUGGCCUGACCCAGCCCUCCUCUUGCCCCUAGGAAGGCCCCAAGCCUCUGGCUGGAAGAGUCACCGAUAGUUAUAGCUGCAUAGACCGUGUACUAGAAACCCUGGAAAACCAGGGGGUGGAAGGGAGAGAGGGGAGCUUGUGGACUUUAUGGUAACUUACAUCCCCUAAAAAUCAGAUUUUUCAAAGAAUUUUCAUCACACAAAGAACAUUUUGGGGACGUAAUGAUAAGAAAAAAGUAGGAUACAAAGCAUUAGGUAUAAAGUGAUCCCAUUUAUGAAACAAAAAUAAAUCUAUAAAUUAAACAAAAAGACCAGAAUAAAGCCAGCAGUAUAGAGACAGUGGUGACUUCUGGUGUAAGAAUAUGUAUGAUUUAAUUUUCUUUAUACUUUCCUAUAGUUUCCAAAUUUCUCCCAUCAACGUACAUAAUUCAGAAAUGAUGAAAAAGAUUAAGAAGAUAAUUCUGGAGUCAAGCUGACACUCCAAAGGCAGACCCAGACCUUUUGCAGACCCCAAGCCCACUGUCUACUUCCCAGGUCUGUUUUGGUGAUCCUGGGUGGGCCCCCUUUAUGGCGGCCCAUGGGGGAGGGGCGGAGGCUCAGCAGCUGGGAGUCAGCUGUGGCUGAAGGCAGUCCCGUGUCCAAUGGGAGGCAGGGGCUCAUUUCCGAGCUGGACGGGGGCCAGGUUUUAAGGACCCAGGCUGCCAAGCAGCUACCUGAGUCACCAAUGUCAACAGCUCCUCCUCAACCCCAGUCCCUCAAAAAGAGGGUAGAGGCCUCAGAGUCAGCCUCUAUCCGAGGGUCUCCAGUCCCUACCCCAGUAACUGCUUCUGGCUUUCAGAUACAGGACAGGGGGUGAAAGCAGCCUCAUCCCUAGUUCUGAGAUUCAGUGAGAACCUGGAUUUAUGGAGAUACGCUCAGGCUUAUAUUCAUCCCCUUCCCUCCUUCUAUCCAUUCCUGCUCCGGAACUCCCAAGGCCGGGGACUCUGUCAGGACAAGAGUGUGGCUGGUUAGAGCUGGGAGGGGGCCCCACAGGGUCAAGGAGUUUUGGACCAAGGAGUCUCAGUUAAUCCCAGACUGAGGAUUAGUAAAAAUAUAGCUAAGAAAUUCUAGCCCACCUUCAAGUAUUCAAUUGUGUUAAAGAAACACACACACACACACACACACACACACACACACACACACGGCUUUUUAGAACAUUUAUUCAUGAGCACGUGUCAAAAUUUUAUUUCAAACUCACUAGAAGUGAAGAGACAGAAAAGAGACCAGUUAAAAGAUUACCUCUUGGUAGAUGCAUUUGGAGGAAAGAAUGGGGUUAGAAGUAUUGUUGAAAUGGACAUACAAAGAUAGAGUCUGGAUAAAACGAAUCACGCCCUCACUGACAGUUGGCGAGGUAGAUGGGAAACCGGUUUCUGAGAAGAAAAGGCUCUGUCCCCGGCAUGUUUGGGAUCCUUUUGUCUGACAGUUGGAAACACUGGCUUGGCUCCUGCUUUGGGGCUGGAGGCUCAAGCAUGAAGCAAUUGAUACGGAAAUUCUGGGUGCCUG